RNAcentral lists this long non-coding RNA (513 nucleotides) under Actinidia chinensis (golden kiwifruit). RNAcentral describes it as "long non-coding RNA (ACHI_LNC004677)". The record is from RNAcentral. Lineage: Eukaryota; Viridiplantae; Streptophyta; Magnoliopsida; Ericales; Actinidiaceae.
CCUCACCCCUAGCGAAUCCAUCAUCCUUGUCGGCCUCAAGUUUAAUCCACGUUAAGCUUCCAUGAUUUUGCUCUCCGCUUAUCCAAGCACCUUGAAUCCACGAAACCUCUAACAUCUCCAACACUUGCCUUGAAUCACCACACAUUUCUUCAAUGAUUGAAUUGAAUUAGGUCUUGAGAAUCAAUGAAACACUUUGAUCAAAUUGAUCUCUCAAAAGUUGUUUCUCAAACUCCCAAACUUUCUAUCUAUAGAUAGCUCUCAAAGGAAUUGGAGAGAUAAUGAUUUUUGGGUCCAAAAAGGCUUAAAUAAACCAUUCCAACCGACUUAGAUCGACACAUGGUCACCACCUAAUCGAUGAGGCGAGUUAUAACCGCCUUUCAAAAUAUCCCACGUUCAUAAAGAAACUGAACAACAGCUACUUGGGCCGCUUGACUCCCUGUAGGGCGGCAGAUCCUCCGGAUACCAAUUUUGUUGCAAACGCUGCUACAUGGGCCACUCGACUCCCAGUCGAAU